Molecule: ribosomal RNA, 137 nt
Filed under: uncultured eukaryote
Lineage: Eukaryota
Description: partial 18S ribosomal RNA
Rfam family: Eukaryotic small subunit ribosomal RNA
Source: RNAcentral
UCGUGGGGUGACUUGUCUGCUUAAUUGCGAUAACGAGCGAGACCUUACUCUGCUAAAUAGCCCGGCUAGCUUUGGCUGGUCGCCGGCUUCUUAGAGGGACUAUCGGCUCAAGCCGAUGGAAGUUUGAGGCAAUAACA